UGGGGAAUAUUGCACAAUGGGCGCAAGCCUGAUGCAGCCAUGCCGCGUGUAUGAAGAAGGCCAUCGGGUUGUAAAGUACUUUCAGCGGGGAGGAAGGCGAUGCGGUUAAUAACCGCGUCGAUUGACGUUACCCGCAGAAGAAGCACCGGCUAACUCCGUGCCAGCAGCCGCGGUAAUACGGAGGGUGCAAGCGUUAAUCGGAAUUACUGGGCGUAAAGCGCACGCAGGCGGUCUGUCAAGUCGGAUGUGAAAUCCCCGGGCUCAACCUGGGAACUGCAUCCGAAACUGGCAGGCUUGAGUCUCGUAGAGGGGGGUAGAAUUCCAGGUGUAGCGGUGAAAUGCGUAGAGAUCUGGAGGAAUACCGGUGGCGAAGGCGGCCCCCUGGACGAAGACUGACGCUCAGGUGCGAAAGCGUGGGGAGCAAACA
RNAcentral lists this ribosomal RNA (427 nucleotides) under uncultured bacterium. RNAcentral's name for it is "partial 16S ribosomal RNA". It matches the Rfam family "Bacterial small subunit ribosomal RNA", at positions 355 to 774 of the family's 1533-position model. The record is from RNAcentral.